This is a long non-coding RNA of Zingiber officinale, 1733 nucleotides long. RefSeq lists it as uncharacterized. The record is from RefSeq and is a predicted model, not a curated record. The transcript is spliced from 7 exons. NCBI's taxonomy places the organism in Eukaryota, Viridiplantae, Streptophyta, Magnoliopsida, Zingiberales, Zingiberaceae.
AGCCGGCCACGGCAGACACUGGAAAGUUAGGGUUCGUAGAGGAGAGGGAGCGGCUCGAUAGGAGGAGUGAGAGAGAUUAAAGGCCGAAGUUGACGGGGUGUAAGGUUCUUGUUGAUCUUCUUCCGCGUCCGGAUUGGACUCUAGGGUUUCGUCCUCGUCGGCGCCUUGGACGAGAGAAGAGAGCAGGGAAGGGAGAGGAGGAGAGAAAGAGAGGGAGAGACGGAAGGAGACGGAGUUUCUUGUUGCCUUCCUCUUCUUCCUUGGUGCCUAGGACGAGGAUAGAAAGGAUGCCCACAUUGUUUGUCACCUCAAUAUUCCAAAGGAAUCUUCUAGUGGAGUAUAUUGUACUAUGGACUGGAUGAUCACAAACAUUUACCAGACAUCAUCUCCACUUAACAUUUAGGUACAUGUGAUAGGAAUUCAUUCCACAUAAUGCCACUAUGAAAAAGAGAGAAUCUUCACCUCCCUCAGGUGGCUUGCCAGAGAAGUCUGUAGCUACAUUUACUCAGAUGGUGGAAUACUACGAAGGUUAUGGUUGUCAUAGGGGGGGAUUCUUCAAAGUUUUGGCGAACAGGUGUCAACAUCUUUAUGUCAGAAAUCAUGUGAUUCAUGUAAACAACCAAUCAUAGUUGUACAACACCUAAAGGAUCUUGAGGGAAAAACUUAUUCGCAGAAGGACAAGUUCUUUCCCAUUUUGACUAAAAGCUCAACCUACAUUCCUUUAGAAGGUCAACAUACUGAAUUUUGGAAUUGAGAAGAUGACAGUUUCUUGGAGGAAGCAAUACCAGAUUCUGGAGGUUUCUCCGUCGCAGACUCGUUGAUGGUAUGCUCUAGCGAUGCGGUGGCUAGGUCUCUCGGCAUCUGUCAGGUAUCCUUUAUCAAAGUACUUUAUCAUUGAUUUCUGGAGACCAAGUGGCUGAAUCCUCAGUUAAAGCAAAAUGCUGUGAUGGUUCACAGAAUAAUCCCAAGGGUAUUAUUGAACGAAUAUAUCCAUUGGGUGCAGCGAUUGGUAAACCAAAAUCUUCUACUGAGGGUAUCUCUCCUGCAAAAAUUGCACAAUCUGAGUGGAAGAGUUUGAAUGAAAGUGAUAAUUCCUCCGAGUCUACUGCUAACACGAUGAGAAACUUUGAGCAGACAAUGCAAACAAACAUCAUGUGAUAGAACAAAAACUUGAGGUGUCACAGGAAACCUUGAAUCUGAGCAAAGCAGAGCUGGCCUUUACAUCUGGUGUCACUGCUAAAAAGUUGGGUAAUUUGGUUCGAUCUUCAGAGACCUCGGAGAGAUUCUCCACCAAUGUUGUUACAAACAACUGAAGUUUCGAAGUUAGCAGUAUCCCAAAAAGUUUCAGUAAAACCAUCUUCUUGUGCUUGAUCGAAAUUCUUUAUCUCAAAUGCUUCAGGCUGAUAGUAAUGAACUUCUUUAUCCCAAAAAGUUUCAGGGAUUGAAGAGGCUGUUGAAAUUUGACCGUAAAAGCAAGGGAGAGGCAAGUGCGUGACUGGUUGGUCAUGCCUCAGAAGAUCUAAAAGCAGCUGCUUACGAAAAGAACCUUGAUACAUCUUCAACUUCCCUCCACGAGAUGUAUUGUCCCCCAUGAUGUAGAUUAAGAAAAUUUCAUCAUUGUUUCUGUUCAUGCCGUGCUCUUGUACUUUUACAUGGAUCGUGCUAAUUCUAGUUUGGUCCUUAAAUUUAUAUUAAAAAUCGUGUUAUGCUGAGCAUAUACGUUCUUGAAUAAA